Molecule: long non-coding RNA, 848 nt
Organism: Cyprinus carpio (common carp)
Lineage: Eukaryota; Metazoa; Chordata; Actinopteri; Cypriniformes; Cyprinidae
Exons: 3
Source: RefSeq, a predicted model, not a curated record
AUGGAUGGAGAGUCCGUGUUUGAGCCUGUUGGUUAUUGCACUGACGUGGCAGAGUUUGAAAUCUUGCUAAGUGAUAGCAGAUGUGUGACGCUCGUUAGCAUCCUUUCUCUUUCCUCAGAUUACAACAACACCAUUGCACCUGACCACAGUUCAUGCAAAAGCCUGUGGAAAACAUGACUGACUCGCUUCAUGUGUGAUUUACUGGUCUCAAAGUUCUGCUUCAGACAUAAAGCAAACAAGGCCAGGAGGAAUGACAAGCCAAAACCAAGCUUUGAUGUGUCUUAGAAACUACUGUGUAAUUUACGCUACUGUCCAAAGGUGGACAAUGGGAAAACAAAAGCAAAGAUAUUAAACAGACACAGAACAGCUGGAUUUGUAUAAAGAGGACAAACAUUUCCGACCGCCGCAAGUUUUUAUUCCACAGCUCGGCGGGAACAAACAGCCAUGCUCGCCAACACUAGACCACACGUUGCUCAGCAACAGCACACUGGUCGGAGAGAGGAUGGAGAGGGGGUGGUGCGACAGGAUAGAGAUUCGUGAAGAGGGAAUCAAGGCCUUUAUUAGCCCUGAGUACAGAUCCCUGACCCAGACCUCUGCACUCUUCAUGACCCUCAUAAGAGUAAUCAGCAUGUUACAAAGCUCCUCUAAUGGCCUAAAUGUACAGAUGCACGUUAGUUUUAGUACUUACUAGGGCAGGCAAAGUUAAUAUUAAUUGGUUUUGAAAUUAUAACUUUUUUUUUCUGUUCUGUGUGAUUUCCAAAAAUCUAAUCAGCUGCAGCACAAACAAAAUAACCUACUGGAAUGCCUGUUGAAAAGGUAAUUGAUUUAUUAGUAACACUUUCUAUGAA